GGAAGUUUGAUCGUCAAGAGGCUCCAGUGAUUUUCCUUCCCACCUCUUUCCUCCCUGAGUUCUCUGCCUCGGCACUCCCUGUGGAUCCCAAUGAACUCAAAAAGCUCAGGCAGGCAUAGCAGCCAAACCUUGUCACUCUCAAGAGGCAGAAAAGCUCCUUCGUCAUCACUUGGAACAGGAACUACAAUGGUGGUGAAAACUGCAAGCAGUUCAGAAUUACACAGCACCAAACAGACACAAAACUGUUUUCUGUAAGGUAAGUCAUCUUUGUAGAACUCUGCAAGGAAAAAUGUAAAAUCAUAUAUGUUUCCAGCUAGAAGCUACACUCUGAGUUUUGGAAAUCGUGAGGUAUCCAUGGCUAUUCAGUGAGUCGUCUCUCCUUGAUCUGGCAUGCA
RNAcentral lists this long non-coding RNA (395 nucleotides) under Pogona vitticeps (central bearded dragon). Its description in RNAcentral is "lncRNA (ENSPVIG00000014303.1)". Lineage: Eukaryota; Metazoa; Chordata; Lepidosauria; Squamata; Agamidae. The record is from RNAcentral.